This 253-nucleotide ribosomal RNA is filed under the name uncultured bacterium. RNAcentral's name for it is "partial 16S ribosomal RNA". It matches the Rfam family "Bacterial small subunit ribosomal RNA", at positions 524 to 776 of the family's 1533-position model. The record is from RNAcentral.
UACGUAGGCAGCAAGCGUUGUUCGGAAUUACUGGGCGUAAAGAGUGUGUAGGCGGUGCUCCAAGUCUGGUGUGAAAUCUCCCGGCUUAACUGGGAGGGUGCAUUAGAAACUGGAAUGCUAGAGGAUGGGAGAGGUAAGCGGAAUUCCUGGUGUAGCGGUGAAAUGCGUAGAUAUCAGGAGGAACACCUGUGGUGUAGACAGCUUACUGGACCAUUUCUGACGCUGAGACACGAAAGCGUGGGUAGAAAACAGG